RNAcentral lists this ribosomal RNA (492 nucleotides) under uncultured bacterium. RNAcentral describes it as "partial 16S ribosomal RNA". It matches the Rfam family "Bacterial small subunit ribosomal RNA", at positions 29 to 507 of the family's 1533-position model. The record is from RNAcentral.
AGUGAACGCUGGCGGUAUGCCUAACACAUGCAAGUCGAACGACCGCACAGUAAGAUCUUGCUCUUACGGGUGGCGAGUGGCGGACGGGUGAGACAUACAUCGGAAUCUUCUAUUUCGUGGAGGAUUACGGAAGGAAACUGACGCUACUACAUCAUACGACCUACGGGUGAAAGCAGUGGUGCUUCGCACCUUUCGUGAUACAUAUAGACGAUGUCGGAUUAGCUAGUUGGCUAGGUAAAGGCCCACCAAGGCGACGAUCCGUAGCUGGUCUGAGAGGAUGAUCAGCCACACUGGAACUGAGACACGGUCCAGACUCCUACGGGAGGCAGCAGUGGGGAAUAUUGGGCAAUGGGCGCAAGCCUGAUCCAGCAAUACCGCGUGAGUGAAGAAGGCCUUCGGAUUGUAAAGCCCUGUUGUUGGGAAAGAAAAGAUGCAGGUUAAUACCCCGCUGUUCUGACGGUACCCAAUGAACAAGCAACGGCUAACUUCGUG